This 241-nucleotide ribosomal RNA is filed under the name uncultured Glomeromycotina. Its description in RNAcentral is "partial 18S ribosomal RNA". It matches the Rfam family "Eukaryotic small subunit ribosomal RNA", at positions 665 to 884 of the family's 1831-position model. Lineage: Eukaryota; Fungi; Glomeromycota. The record is from RNAcentral.
GGAUUGAUGCAUCGGUCGUGCCUUAAGGGGUAUGAACUGGUGUAGUCAGUUUCUCACCUUCUGGAGAACCGCGAUGUCCUUAAUUGGGUGCCGCGAGGAACCAGGACCUUUACUUUGAAAAAAUUAGAGUGUUUAAAGCAGGCAUUUUGCUUGAAUACAUUAGCAUGGAAUAAUAAAAUAGGACGGAUGGUUCUAUUUUGUUGGUUUCUAGGAUCACCGUAAUGAUUAAUAGGGAUAGUUG